This 253-nucleotide ribosomal RNA is filed under the name uncultured bacterium. Its description in RNAcentral is "partial 16S ribosomal RNA". It matches the Rfam family "Bacterial small subunit ribosomal RNA", at positions 524 to 776 of the family's 1533-position model. The record is from RNAcentral.
UACGUAGGUGGCAAGCGUUGUCCGGAAUUAUUGGGCGUAAAGCGCGCGCAGGCGGUCCUUUAAGUCUGAUGUGAAAGCCCACGGCUCAACCGUGGAGGGUCAUUGGAAACUGGGGGACUUGAGUCCGGAAGAGGAGAGUGGAAUUCCUGGUGUAGCGGUGAAAUGCGCAGAUAUCAGGAAGAACACCCGUGGCUAAGGCGGCUCUCUAGUACGGUACUGACGCUGAGACGCGAAAGCGUGGGGAGCGAACAGG